This 253-nucleotide ribosomal RNA is filed under the name uncultured bacterium. RNAcentral's name for it is "partial 16S ribosomal RNA". It matches the Rfam family "Bacterial small subunit ribosomal RNA", at positions 524 to 776 of the family's 1533-position model. The record is from RNAcentral.
UACGUAGGGGGCAAGCGUUGUCCGGAAUCAUUGGGCGUAAAGAGCGUGUAGGCGGCCCGAUAAGUCCGCUGUGAAAGCCCAGGGCUCAACCCUGGGAUGCCGGUGGAUACUGUCGGGCUCGAGUCCGGAAGAGGAGUGUGGAAUUCCUGGUGUAGCGGUGAAAUGCGCAGAUAUCAGGAGGAACACCUAUAGCGAAGGCAGCUUGCUGGGACGUUACUGACGCUAAGGCGCGAAAGCGUGGGGAGCGAACAGG